ACGUACACUCCUGCGGGAGGCAGCAGUGGGGAAUAUUGGACAAUGGGCGCAAGCCUGAUCCAGCCAUGCCGCGUGAGUGAUGAAGGCCCUAGGGUUGUAAAGCUCUUUCACCGGUGAAGAUAAUGACGGUAACCGGAGAAGAAGCCCCGGCUAACUUCGUGCCAGCAGCCGCGGUAAUACGAAGGGGGCUAGCGUUGUUCGGAUUUACUGGACGUAAAGCGCACGUAGGCGGACUAUUAAGUCAGGGGUGAAAUCCCGGGGCUCAACCCCGGAACUGCCUUUGAUACUGGUAGUCUUGAGUUCGAGAGAGGUGAGUGGAAUUCCGAGUGUAGAGGUGAAAUUCGUAGAUAUUCGGAGGAACACCAGUGGCGAAGGCGGCUCACUGGCUCGAUACUGACGCUGAGGUGCGAAAGCGUGGGGAGCAAACAGGAUUAGAUACCCCGGUAGUCCC
Molecule: ribosomal RNA, 451 nt
Filed under: uncultured organism
Description: partial 16S ribosomal RNA
Rfam family: Bacterial small subunit ribosomal RNA
Source: RNAcentral